Molecule: ribosomal RNA, 254 nt
Filed under: uncultured bacterium
Lineage: Bacteria
Description: partial 16S ribosomal RNA
Rfam family: Bacterial small subunit ribosomal RNA
Source: RNAcentral
UACGUAGGGGGCUAGCGUUGUCCGGAAUCAUUGGGCGUAAAGGGCGCGUAGGUGGCCCGGUCAGUUCGUGGUGAAAGCGCGGGGCUCAACCCUGCGUCGGCCAUGAAUACUGCCGCGGCUGGAGCACUGUGGAGGCAGGCGGAAUUCCGGGUGUAGCGGUGGAAUGCGUAGAGAUCCGGAAGAACACCGGUGGCGAAGGCGGCCUGCUGGGCAGUUGCUGACACUGAGGCGCGACAGCGUGGGGAGCAAACAGG